UUUAAGUGGGGGAUAACCCGGGGAAACCCGGAUUAAUACCGCAUGAUCUCGCAAGAGCAAGAGGGGGACCGCAAGGCCUCUACGCUUUUAGAGGAACCUACGUCGGAUUAGCUAGUUGGUGAGGUAAUGGCUCACCAAAGGCGACGAUCCGUAACUGGUCUGAGAGGAUGAUCAGUCACACCGGAACUGAGACACGGUCCGGACUCCUACGGGAGGCAGCAGUGGGGGAAUAUUGGACAAUGGGCGAAAGCCUGAUCCAGCAAUACCGCGUGUGUGAAGAAGGCCUUCGGGUUGUAAAGCACUUUAAGUUGGGAAGAAAAAGCUUCACCUAAUACGUGGAGCCUUGACGGUACCGACAGAAUAAGCACCGGCUAACUCUGUG
RNAcentral lists this ribosomal RNA (382 nucleotides) under uncultured bacterium. Its description in RNAcentral is "bacterial SSU rRNA". It matches the Rfam family "Bacterial small subunit ribosomal RNA", at positions 131 to 507 of the family's 1533-position model. The record is from RNAcentral.